GGGAAAUGGGAUAGUGUGACUGAACUUAGGGAGAAGAUGAAGUUAAGAGGGGUACUCAAAGACACUGGCUGCAGCUGGGUUGGUACCGAGAGUGGUUUAUGAAGUUUCAUGUUGGAAAAUACCUUUGUAAAUCAAUGUUUAGGUAAAAAUACCUUUAUAAAAACCACUCAUCCUGAUUUCCCCAUCACUCUUUGGAGAGUUCAUCUGUUUCAGAUGAGGACUUGAAUGCAUCAGUCUCGCUGAGCUUCGUGAUGAAAUUUGUUGGAAUUAUCAGGAUGAGUGGUUUUUAUAAUUUUUAGUGGGCAAGAUGCUCACUAGAUUGUUGAUUAAUUGGCGGAGCUUAAGCUGUUGUCAUAGAUGAAAGCCACACGGGAUAAUUUGCAAUUCUUGUUAAUCCUAUGCUCUGAGG
RNAcentral lists this long non-coding RNA (409 nucleotides) under Citrus maxima (pomelo). RNAcentral describes it as "long non-coding RNA (CMAX_LNC001101)". Lineage: Eukaryota; Viridiplantae; Streptophyta; Magnoliopsida; Sapindales; Rutaceae. The record is from RNAcentral.